GUAAUGAAACACGUGUAAAAUGAUAUAUUUGAUUAUGCUAUAGCAAUAGAUGUAAUCGAUGGAAAAAAGAUUACGUAUAUAGAAAGUGUGCAAGAGUGUACGCACAUAAAUAGCCAAAAUGGCUACAUGACUUAAGUAUUGAACUAAAUUUGCUCGACAAACUAAACGUUUUCGAACCAGCAGUUCGAACACCCAUAGACGUCAAACCAGUAGGUUAUAAAUGGGUGUCUUUAAAUAAAAGGAAACGUAAAUAAUGAGUUUUUGCGAUGUAAGGCACACAUUUUAACAUAAAGAUUUUUCCCAAAUCCCAGUAGUUGAUUACGAGGAAACAUAUACCCCUGUAGUGGAUGCGAUAAUCUUUAGAUGUUUAAGCGGCCUCGCAAUCUCAGAAUGACUUCAGAUAAAACAACUUAUGGAUGUCAUCACCGUAUACAUGUACGAGACAAUUGCAAAUGACAUCUGCAUGAAAACCCCUGAAGGAUUAAAAAUGCUCAAAGCAUUAUGAAAAAUAACCCCUUAUGUGUUAUAUAUAUGAAUCUUAAAGGAAACUACUCGUAUGUGGUACAGUCGACUAUACUCUGAAAAGAGAGGUAUAAGUUUGAUAAAAUGAGCUACAUCUAUUUAACAAGAUUUCACUCUUACAGUGAUAAUGUAAACAUCAUAGAGAGGGAACUCUCAAACUAAAAAGGAAAAUUUUUAAUGACCUUUACAAAGUGUAGUUAUUCUCGACCUGUAGUUCGAGUAUAUAUGUACUAUUUUUGCUCAUCAAUCUGACUACAUCUAGAAGAUGUUAUAUAGAAAAAGCUCAUUCGUUGACUACAUGAACAAUUGUUAGAUCGCUUGACAUAGAAAAAAUAUUCUUAUCAACCCCAAGAAAAGGAUGUUGAACUACUUAGUCAAGAAGUACCAUACUUAAUUGCGAUCAGAGCAUUGACGUAUCUUACAAACAAGACGACAUCUGAUAUUACGUUCUUGCUAGAUGUAUUGGUAAGAUUACAGUUCUAAUCUCAAAUGUUGCACUCUUUUUCCCUUCACUAAGUUUUUCCCAUUGGGUUUUCUUGGUAAGGUUUUUAACGAGACAGCAUAACUGAUCUAGUAGUAUCAGUUUAUCUUAUAGGUCCUGAAGUACUAAUUUAACAUCAUCAUAAAUCAUAGGGAUGGGAUUGGUACAGUACCCGUACCUAUACCCGUACCAAUACCAAAAAUACCGGUACCGAAUUUGAACAAAACUAGGUACCAAAUACCGUACCAGAUAUAUAGGUACGGUACGGGUACGAGUACGGGUACUGGUACGGGUAUUUUCGGUACAGUACCCGGUUGGUACCAUUUUGUUUUUAUUUACUUUUUGAACACUUGUAUGAGUACUAAAUAGGUAAAAUUGACAUGAGUACCAAUAUAGUACGAGUACCAAAUAGGUAAAAUUGGUACGAGUACCAAUACGAUACGGGUACCAUAUAGGUAAAAUCAAUACGAGUACGCUAUAAAUACCAUAAUAUGAAACAAAACAUAAUACAAAAAAACUUUUAAAGGUAUACAUAGAAUUCGGUACCAGUACCCGUUUUUACCCGUACCCGUACCCGUACCAAUACCGAAAGUACCGAAUACCAAAAUCAAUAAAACUGGGUACCGAUACAUGUACCAAAUACCUAAAAUCGGUAUGGGUACAGGUACAGGUACGGGUACGGUACGGGUACGAGUACGGGUAUUUGGGAAAAAAAAGCCCAUCCCUAAUAAAUCAUGUUGUUAAUUAUGUAUAAUGCGUAGUGCACUCUUUUCCCUUAGCUACGGUUUUGUCCCAUUGGGUUUUCCUGGCAUGGUUUUUAACGAGGCAGAAUUAUAAAGCGCAUUAAAUAAUUAUUUGACAUAUUUACAAACUCGAGACACGGUAUAGUUCCACAAGAACAAUAUGGCGUUCUGGGUUAUGAUUGAUAUAUAUUAGAAUCGCAUAGAGUUCUAUCUCAAUCCAGAUACAAGUUAUGAAGGUCGAAGAUUUCAGCAUAUUUAAGAAGUAUCUAGAUUAGAGUUGAUCAAGAGAAGCUCAAGCUAUACUAUAUGAAGACAAGGUAGACAACAACACUCAAAUAAAAAAAGACUACAUCAAAUAUCAAGUCAAGCAAUUGUCACAGAAGAUUGGAUUCAACAUCAUCAAGAUAUAUAAGUAAAAUUGAGGGGGAGUAUGUACCCAUAAUAUACACAAUGUAUGUACUCUUUUUCCUUGACUAAGUUUUGUCCCACUGGGUUUUUCUUAGUAAGGUUUUAAUGAGGCAACAUAACUGGUCUUGCAGUAUCAGUUAACAUCGGUCCCGAAGAAUCGUGUAAACAUUAUCUAGUAGUAUAAUGUUAACAGUACAUUCAGGCCCAUAGGCCAAGCCUGACCUAAUGUUAAUGGGCUUUAGGGUUGUUGUUGUAUUGUUCUAUAUAUAUGAUAUAUGUACAUGAAAUACGUGU
Molecule: long non-coding RNA, 2448 nt
Filed under: Helianthus annuus (common sunflower)
Lineage: Eukaryota; Viridiplantae; Streptophyta; Magnoliopsida; Asterales; Asteraceae
Description: hypothetical non coding rna
Source: RNAcentral